CGCCGCGUGGAGGAUGAAAUAUCUUGGUAUGUAAACUACCUUUCGUAGUGGGGAAGAUAAUGACGGUACCCAUAGAAGAAGCCCCGGCUAACUUCGUGC
Molecule: ribosomal RNA, 99 nt
Filed under: uncultured bacterium
Lineage: Bacteria
Description: partial 16S ribosomal RNA
Source: RNAcentral